This 36-nucleotide ribosomal RNA is filed under the name Caecosagitta macrocephala. RNAcentral's name for it is "partial 5.8S rRNA". The record is from RNAcentral. Lineage: Eukaryota; Metazoa; Chaetognatha; Sagittoidea; Aphragmophora; Sagittidae.
AAACAACUGCAGACGGUGGAUCUCUUGGCUCGUGCA